RNAcentral lists this ribosomal RNA (1373 nucleotides) under uncultured bacterium. RNAcentral describes it as "bacterial SSU rRNA". It matches the Rfam family "Bacterial small subunit ribosomal RNA", at positions 28 to 1381 of the family's 1533-position model. The record is from RNAcentral.
GAUGAACGCUGGCGUUGUGCCUAAUACAUGCAAGUCGAGCGAACGGACGAGAAGCUUGCUUCUCUGAUGUUAGCGGCGGACGGGUGAGUAACACGUGGAUAACCUACCUAUAAGACUGGGAUAACUUCGGGAAACCGGAGCUAAUACCGGAUAAUAUUUUGAACCGCAUGGUUCAAAAGUGAAAGACGGUCUUGCUGUCACUUAUAGAUGGAUCCGCGCUGCAUUAGCUAGUUGGUAAGGUAACGGCUUACCAAGGCAACGAUGCAUAGCCGACCUGAGAGGGUGAUCGGCCACACUGGAACUGAGACACGGUCCAGACUCCUACGGGAGGCAGCAGUAGGGAAUCUUCCGCAAUGGGCGAAAGCCUGACGGAGCAACGCCGCGUGAGUGAUGAAGGUCUUCGGAUCGUAAAACUCUGUUAUUAGGGAAGAACAUAUGUGUAAGUAACUGUGCACAUCUUGACGGUACCUAAUCAGAAAGCCACGGCUAACUACGUGCCAGCAGCCGCGGUAAUACGUAGGUGGCAAGCGUUAUCCGGAAUUAUUGGGCGUAAAGCGCGCGUAGGCGGUUUUUUAAGUCUGAUGUGAAAGCCCACGGCUCAACCGUGGAGGGUCAUUGGAAACUGGAAAACUUGAGUGCAGAAGAGGAAAGUGGAAUUCCAUGUGUAGCGGUGAAAUGCGCAGAGAUAUGGAGGAACACCAGUGGCGAAGGCGACUUUCUGGUCUGUAACUGACGCUGAUGUGCGAAAGCGUGGGGAUCAAACAGGAUUAGAUACCCUGGUAGUCCACGCCGUAAACGAUGAGUGCUAAGUGUUAGGGGGUUUCCGCCCCUUAGUGCUGCAGCUAACGCAUUAAGCACUCCGCCUGGGGAGUACGACCGCAAGGUUGAAACUCAAAGGAAUUGACGGGGACCCGCACAAGCGGUGGAGCAUGUGGUUUAAUUCGAAGCAACGCGAAGAACCUUACCAAAUCUUGACAUCCUUUGACAACUCUAGAGAUAGAGCCUUCCCCUUCGGGGGGGCAAAGUGACAGGUGGUGCAUGGUUGUCGUCAGCUCGUGUCGUGAGAUGUUGGGUUAAGUCCCGCAACGAGCGCAACCCUUAAGCUUAGUUGCCAUCAUUAAGUUGGGCACUCUAAGUUGACUGCCGGUGACAAACCGGAGGAAGGUGGGGAUGACGUCAAAUCAUCAUGCCCCUUAUGAUUUGGGCUACACACGUGCUACAAUGGACAAUACAAAGGGCAGCGAAACCGCGAGGUCAAGCAAAUCCCAUAAAGUUGUUCUCAGUUCGGAUUGUAGUCUGCAACUCGACUACAUGAAGCUGGAAUCGCUAGUAAUCGUAGAUCAGCAUGCUACGGUGAAUACGUUCCCGGGUCU